AUAAUUAUAUAAAGAAACCUGUGGGCCGUUUCUUUAGCUGAUUUAGUAAAUUAUUCCCUUACUGAGCAAUGUUUAAAUUGUAAACUGGCGAGAUCUGGUUGGGACGGCACCUAGACGCUGAGUACGAUCUGACCAUAAAAACAAUCAGAGAAAAGUGACACGAGAAGGGAGAGAACCCGGGAUAAACUAUGCAUCCCGUGCGAUCUCCCCCAAGAACACAACCAUCAAAAUUUUAUUAAG
Molecule: unclassified non-coding RNA, 240 nt
Filed under: Hevea brasiliensis (rubber tree)
Lineage: Eukaryota; Viridiplantae; Streptophyta; Magnoliopsida; Malpighiales; Euphorbiaceae
Source: RNAcentral